GAGGGUAUAGCUCAAGUGGUAGAGUGCAUGCUUAGCAUGCAUGAGGUUCUGGGUUCAAUCCCCAGUACCUUCU
Molecule: transfer RNA, 73 nt
Filed under: Camelus bactrianus (Bactrian camel)
Lineage: Eukaryota; Metazoa; Chordata; Mammalia; Artiodactyla; Camelidae
Also listed under: 1 other name
Rfam family: tRNA
About the family: Transfer RNA (tRNA) molecules are approximately 80 nucleotides in length. Their secondary structure includes four short double-helical elements and three loops (D, anti-codon, and T loops). Further hydrogen bonds mediate the characteristic L-shaped molecular structure. tRNAs have two regions of fundamental functional importance: the anti-codon, which is responsible for specific mRNA codon recognition, and the 3' end, to which the tRNAs corresponding amino acid is attached (by aminoacyl-tRNA synthetases). tRNAs cope with the degeneracy of the genetic code in two manners: having more than one tRNA (with a specific anti-codon) for a particular amino acid; and 'wobble' base-pairing, i.e. permitting non-standard base-pairing at the 3rd anti-codon position.
Source: Rfam by way of RNAcentral